This 426-nucleotide ribosomal RNA is filed under the name Galathea acis. RNAcentral's name for it is "partial 16S ribosomal RNA". The stretch from base 294 to 426 matches the Rfam family "Bacterial large subunit ribosomal RNA", at positions 2473 to 2606 of the family's 2925-position model. The record is from RNAcentral. Lineage: Eukaryota; Metazoa; Arthropoda; Malacostraca; Decapoda; Galatheidae.
UUUUAAUUGGAAACUCGUAUGAAGGGUUGGACAAAGGAUAAUCUGUUUUUAUUUUUAUUUUUGAAUUUAUCUUUUAAGUGAAAAGACUUGAAUAUAUUUAAGGGACGAUAAGACCCUAUAAAUCUUUAUAUUUAAUUUAAUGUUUAUAUUGAUUUUUAAUGUAAAUAUAAAAUAAAGAUUAAUAAUGUUAUGUUGGGGUGACAAGAAUAAAAAAUAAACUAUUCUAAAAAUAAACAAAGUUAUUUGAUUAAUAGUAGAUCCUUUUUAAAGAUAUAAGUUUAAGUUACUUUAGGGAUAACAGCGUUAUUUCUUUUGAGAGUUCAAAUCGAAAAAGAAGUUUGCGACCUCGAUGUUGAAUUAAAAUUUCUUUAUAGUGCAGCAGUUAUAUAAGAAAGUCUGUUCGACUUUUAAAAUUUUACGUGAUCU